CCUGGUGGCUCAGAAGGUAAAGCAUCUGCCUACAAUGCAGGAGACCCAGGUUUGAUCCCUGGGUCAGGA
RNAcentral lists this transfer RNA (69 nucleotides) under Ovis aries (sheep). It matches the Rfam family "tRNA". From Rfam's summary of the family: Transfer RNA (tRNA) molecules are approximately 80 nucleotides in length. Their secondary structure includes four short double-helical elements and three loops (D, anti-codon, and T loops). Further hydrogen bonds mediate the characteristic L-shaped molecular structure. tRNAs have two regions of fundamental functional importance: the anti-codon, which is responsible for specific mRNA codon recognition, and the 3' end, to which the tRNAs corresponding amino acid is attached (by aminoacyl-tRNA synthetases). tRNAs cope with the degeneracy of the genetic code in two manners: having more than one tRNA (with a specific anti-codon) for a particular amino acid; and 'wobble' base-pairing, i.e. permitting non-standard base-pairing at the 3rd anti-codon position. The record is from Rfam by way of RNAcentral. Lineage: Eukaryota; Metazoa; Chordata; Mammalia; Artiodactyla; Bovidae.